Piliocolobus tephrosceles (Ugandan red Colobus) is the source of this 293-nucleotide long non-coding RNA. RefSeq lists it as uncharacterized. The transcript is spliced from 2 exons. NCBI's taxonomy places the organism in Eukaryota, Metazoa, Chordata, Mammalia, Primates, Cercopithecidae. The record is from RefSeq and is a predicted model, not a curated record.
GUUGCUCCAACAGCCAAGUUAUGAUCUUGGAAGAGUCUGCUGUCCAGUGAUUUCCUGUUGGCAUUCAAGGUUGGCAUAGAACGCUACCUGGCACAUGGGUUACUCGCCAUCUAAAACCAAAAAUCAAGACAUAUUUAUAUCUUAUUGCUAUGUCCAAAGGUUGAUUUUUCUUCACUUGGUGAGCAUCCUCUGUUUGACAUUUCCACAUGUAAUAAGUUAAGAACUGAUUUGAUAAGAUAUCCCAAAAAUGCAAUUGUAUAAAUCCAAAUAAAAAAUUUAAAUAAUCAUCCCAA